Thelazia callipaeda (thelaziosis nematode) is the source of this 45-nucleotide non-coding RNA. Lineage: Eukaryota; Metazoa; Nematoda; Chromadorea; Rhabditida; Thelaziidae. The record is from Rfam.
CCAACGGCCCUCAUCAGGGCCACAAAUUAAUGAACCGAGCAUUUU